AUUGAACGCUGGCGGCAGGCUUAACACAUGCCAGUCGAGCGGGGAAGGGUAGCUUGCUACCUAACCUAGUGGCGGACGGGUGAGUAAUGCUUAGGAAUCUGCCAUUUAGUGGGGGACAACAUUCCGACAGGAAUGCUAAUACCGCCUACGUCCUACGGGAGAAAGCAGGGGAACUUCGGACCUUGCGCUAAAUGAUGAGCCUAAGUCGGAUUAGCGAGUUGGUGAGGUAAAGGCCUACUAGGGCGACGAUGUGUAGCGGGUCUGAGAGGAUGAUCCGCCACACUGGGACUGAGACACGGCCCAGACUCCUACGGGAGGAAGCAGUGGGGAAUAUUGGACAAUGGGCGGAAGCCUGAUCCAGCCAUGCCGCGUGUGUGAAGAAGGCCUUUUGGUUGUAAAGCACUUUAAGCGAGGAGGAGGCUACUUAGAUUAAUACUCUAGGAUAGUGGACGUUACUCGCAGAAUAAGCACCGGCUAACUCUGUGCCAGCAGCCGCCGUAA
RNAcentral lists this ribosomal RNA (501 nucleotides) under uncultured bacterium. Its description in RNAcentral is "partial 16S ribosomal RNA". It matches the Rfam family "Bacterial small subunit ribosomal RNA", at positions 30 to 523 of the family's 1533-position model. The record is from RNAcentral.